UUUUUCUGCGCCGGGCCGCCUCUGCCUGCAAAAGAUACCAAGAGCCACCGGAUCUUUCAUUCACUCUCCACUUUUUAGCUAUAAAUUCAUACCCACCUCGUUGUUUCCGCUUGCCAAGCUCAUAAGCCUACCUGCCCAACUCAACUCUCAUAUUUGAUCCUCUCCUGUUCAGGGUAAAUAUGGCAACUGUGACUGUUCCCUCCCAAUGCAUGGUCAAAAUUGCACCCAAAAA
Molecule: unclassified non-coding RNA, 232 nt
Filed under: Hevea brasiliensis (rubber tree)
Lineage: Eukaryota; Viridiplantae; Streptophyta; Magnoliopsida; Malpighiales; Euphorbiaceae
Source: RNAcentral